This 598-nucleotide small RNA is filed under the name Halanaerobium sp. DL-01. Lineage: Bacteria; Bacillati; Bacillota; Clostridia; Halanaerobiales; Halanaerobiaceae. The record is from RNAcentral.
AUUAAACAAAAUGUGAGUGGUGCAGUAUCCUAGUCAGUGUAUUAUUCUUGAAGACGGGCCUAAAAAUCCGUCAGCGGGCAUAUCGAUGAAGUUCUUUACAUCGGCUGCUGACGCCCAGUCGGGAGCUGAUGUAGGGAGUUAAGGGUUUGGGGCGAUCCACAAUGGCAUGUGGGCGUUGACCCCUUUCCCGUGGAGGCCUGGUAUUUAUUCCAGCUUGGAAUAAAUCUAGGUUAACCUGCCCAGCCGUAAGGUUUGGGUAGUGUAGCCUGCUUUGAGUGGUACUGGAGACAGUAGCAAAACAUAUAAUUUUGGAUCCAAAUUAUAUGUUGAACCUGCUGGAAACCUUUACUGCAAAAGAAGCUAGGGAGUAGUUUAAACACUGUUAAGGAAAACUUCUAGGCUGUCUGCUAGUCAGGAUACAGUGGAGAUUAAAGUGUGGUCUGAGUGGUAAUCCAGUUCUAUAUAAGGGUAACCAUAUAGUCGAAAUUUAAUGAGAAAUCGCCUGUUCUGGUGACAGAAGGGGGUAUUUCGGGGGAAAACCUACUGGACCUAAGCCACAGCAUUUAUUUGCUGUAUCACCACUCACAAAUUUUUUGAA